RNAcentral lists this ribosomal RNA (305 nucleotides) under uncultured bacterium. RNAcentral describes it as "bacterial SSU rRNA". It matches the Rfam family "Bacterial small subunit ribosomal RNA", at positions 336 to 658 of the family's 1533-position model. The record is from RNAcentral.
UUCCUACGGGAGGCAGCAGUGGGGAAUAUUGCACAAUGGGGGAAACCCUGAUGCAGCGACGCCGCGUGAGUGAAGAAGUAUUUCGGUAUGUAAAGCUCUGUCAGCAGGGAAGAAAAUGACGGUACCUGACCAAGAAGCCCCGGCUAACUACGUGCCAGCAGCCGCGGUAAUACGUAGGGGGCAAGCGUUAUCCGGAUUUAUUGGGUGUAAAGGGCGUGUAGGCGGGAAAGCAAGUCAGAUGUGAAAACUCAGGGCUCAACCCUGAGCCUGCAUUUGAAACUGUUUUUCUUGAGUGCUGGAGAGUG